GCGAUCAUACCAGCACUAAUGCACCAUAUCUCAUCAUAACUUUGAAGUUAAGCGUGCUUGGGUGAGAUCAGUACUAGGAUGGAUGACCCACAUGAAGUCCUCGUGUUUCACCU
Molecule: ribosomal RNA, 113 nt
Filed under: Zingiber officinale
Lineage: Eukaryota; Viridiplantae; Streptophyta; Magnoliopsida; Zingiberales; Zingiberaceae
Source: RNAcentral